Molecule: ribosomal RNA, 330 nt
Filed under: Triticum aestivum (bread wheat)
Lineage: Eukaryota; Viridiplantae; Streptophyta; Magnoliopsida; Poales; Poaceae
Description: partial small subunit ribosomal RNA
Source: RNAcentral
AUGGCGGCCAUGACACAGACCGACCAGGCCCUGCCGAUGGCGACUGCUGAUCUGGAGGCCGCCAUGGCAGCGCUCCCUGUCAAGAAGCAGCGCCUGCGGAAGUCCUUCCACCGCGUCGUCGCAUGUGCGCCUCCCCAUGUCAAGCUCCCCUUCACCUGGGACGACAUCGAUGUUGGCGCCGCCUCCAUGCGCAACGCCGCUUCUUCUUCCUUGUGCUUCCUCGCACAACUCUCUUCUCUCGUGGUUUCUCUCAUGAACACAAAAACACACGCACACACACAACCAAGGAAGAAGGCCAUCGGCUUUGCCCAGAACAUUCUCCCUUGGUGA